Molecule: long non-coding RNA, 13631 nt
Filed under: Homo sapiens (human)
Lineage: Eukaryota; Metazoa; Chordata; Mammalia; Primates; Hominidae
Description: HSALNT0367550
Source: RNAcentral
AGUCAUUUGCGCCUUCCUGUUCUCUUUGUUAGCUUCCAUUUUGUGGGUCAGUUUCUCUUCUGCUAUUUCACUGAAGCUGUUCUUUUAUUGAUUUCUGAAGCACUUCUUUCUCCUGCUCUCAUUUUUCAGCAAGCUGCUUCAAGGCCUCAGCUUCGCAGGGCUUGUGUCUUUCUUCUGAAGCUUCUGAUUUAUUCUGAAUUUCCUCCAGGGAAAGAUCUUUCUUCUUUGGAGGGGAAAUAAGGAACUCUGGGAUGGAUUCUUUUGAUGGUAUCUGAGAAUCAGUUCAAAAGCCUAGCCUGAGGCACACUUCUCCAGUGCUUUCACCUGGAUAUCAGAAGUAGCCAUGAUGAAUGAAAGACAAGAGACUGGCAGUGUAUUCUACAAAAUCCACUGGGAUAAGGAAAACUCUGCUAGAUCUGAGCCACCUGACCACACUCUGAGCUGUUUUCUGUAUUUAUAAAAUUUAAGAGUAGUUUAUUAAGUUUCCUAACGUGACUAAAUUUGACUAAACUACAUGACAGGUUUCCUUUUUGUAAGACUGGUGUCAGUUGCAAAUUCAUGAUAUUUUCUUGUGGAAUAUUCCUUUUAUCAUUAAGUAAUGUCUCUCUUUAUCCGUAUUCAUGUUUUUCACUUUAGAGACUAUUCUGUUUGAUUUCAGUAUUGCUCCAUCAUUUUUCCAUGGUUUCUUUUGCUCAACAUUAUGUUUGUGAAAUUUAUCUGUAUCGUUACAUGUAGCUAUAGAUUAUUCAUUUCCAUUUUCACGUUGUUCAUGUCCAUUUUCACUAACGUAUAAUAUUCUGUUGUUUGACCAAUUUAUUCUACAGUGAAUAUACAGUUGGGUCAUUUGUAACUCUUUAUUAUUAUGAAUAUCAAUAUGAAUAUUCUUAGACAUGUCUUUUGGUACACACGUAUCUGUGUUUCAACUGAGUGUAUAUAUCUAGUAGUGGAACUGCUGGCUCAUAGGGUAGGCAUAUGUUUAGCUUAAUGCCAGUUUUUCAAAGUGGUUGUACCCAAUCACAAUCCUACCAUUGGUGAAUGAGCAUUCUUGUGGUCCAUAUCCUUGCCAACACUUGGCAUUGUUAAUCUUUUAAAUUUUAGUCAUUUUAGUGGGUAUAUAAUAGCAAUGCAAUGUGGCAUUAAAUUGCAAUCUCUGAUUAAUAUGGGUACACAUUCAUCUUUUUAUUGUCUGGUUGGAUAUCCUCUUUUGUGGAGUAUCUACUCAAGUAUUUUGCCCUCUUUCAUUUUGGGUUAAUUAUGUUUCUUACUGAUAUAUAGGAAUUCCUGUUAUAUGCUGGAUAUGAACCUUCUGUUUGUUAUAUACGUUGCAAAUAUAUUCCCCCAUUCCGUGGAUUGCCUUUCCACUUUCUUAAUCAUGUCUUUUGCUGAAGAGAAGUACAUUCUAAUACAGUCCAAUUUAUCAGUGUUUUCCAUUACAGCAGGUGAUUUUUUGUCCUGUUCAUAAACUUUCCCUGUCCUAAGUUCAUGAAGAUAUUCUCCUAUGUUUUCUUCUACAAGAAUUCACUAAGUUUAUUGUUUCACCUUUCCUUUUUGACUUACAAACCACCAGGAACUGAUUUUUUUUUUUACAUUUUUAUUUAAGUUCCGGGAUAUACACCUAGGUAUUAAGCCCCACAUGCAUUGUCUAUUUGUCCUGAUGCUAUCCUUUCCCUUGCUCCCCCCAACCACAGGCCCCGGUGUGUGUUGUUCCCCUCCCUGUGUCCAUGUGUUCUCAUCAUUCAGCUCCACUUAUGACAUGCGGUGUUUGGUUUUCUGUUCCUGUGUUAGUUUGCUGAGGAUGAUGUCUUCCAGCUUUAUCCAUGUCCCUGCAAAGGACGUGAUUUCAUUUCUUUUUAUGGCUGCAUAGUAUUCCAUGGUUUAUAUGUACCACACUUUCUUUAUCCAGUCUAUCACUGAUGAGCAUUUGAGUUGGUUCCAUGUCUUUGCUAUUGUGAAUAGUGCUGCAAUAAACAUAUGUGUGCAAUAAGCAAACAUUCAUUGUAAUAGAAUCAUUUAUAUUCCUUUGGGUAUAUACCCAGUAAUGGGAUUGCUGGGUCAAAUGGUAUUCCUGGAUAAACACAUUCGUUAUGAAGAAAGAUUAAAUAAAUUCUUCUCUAGUGUCAAGCUACUUUAAACUUGUUUUAAUUCAAGACUCUUCUGUGGUGCCUUCUAAUCUGUCUACAGACAGUCUAAUUUAAUUCAGUCUUAUUUAAUUCACAAGAGGCAGUAUCAGAAACUGGGAUUUCUUGGUAACUAAGAUUUAUAGUUAACUUUUUUUUUUUAAUUUUACUUUAAGUUCUGAGAUACAUGUGCAGAACAUUCAGGUUUGUUACAUAGGUAUACAUGUGCCAUGGUGGUUUGCUGCCCCUAUCAACCUGUCAUCUAGGUUUUAAGCCCUGCAUGCACUAGGUAUUUGUCCUAAUGCUCUCCCUCCCCUUGUCCCCAACCCCCCGACAGGCCCCAGUGUGUGAUGUUCCCCUCCCUGUGUCCAUGUGUUCUCAUUGUUCAACCUGAAUUUGAAUGUUGGCCUGUCUUGCUAGGUUGGGGAAGUUCUCCUGCAUAAUAUCCUGAAGUGUGUUUUCCAACGUGGUUCCAUUCUCUCAAUCACUUUCAGGUACACCAAUCAAUCGUAGGUUUGGUCUUUUCACAUAGUCCCAUAUUUCUUGGAGGCUUUGUUCGUUUUCAUUCCUUUUUCUCUAAUCUUGUCUUUGCCUCUUAUUUCAGUAAGUUGAUCUUCAAUCUCUGCUAUUCUUUCUUCUGCUUGAUCAAUUUGGCUAUUGAUAUUGUAUAUGCUUCAUGAAGUUCUCAUGCUGUGUUUUUCAGCUCCAUCAGGUCAUUUAUGUUCUUCUCUAAACUGGUUAUUCUAGUUAGCAGUUCCUGUAACCUUUUAUCAAGGUUCUUAGCUUCCUUGUGUUGGGUUAGAACAUGCUUCUUUAGCUUGGAGAGUUUGUUAUUACCAACCUUCUGAAGCCUACUUCUGUCAACUCGUCAAACUCAUUCUCUGUCCAGUUUUGUUCCCUUGCUGGCAAGGAGUUGUGUUCCUCUGGAGAAUAGGCAUUCUGGUUUUUGGAAUUUUCAGGCUUUCUGCUCUAGUUUCUCCCCAUCUUUGUGGUUUUAUCUACCUUUGGUCUUUGAUGUUGGUGACCUAUGGAUGGGGUUUUGGUGUGGAUGUCCUUUUUGUUAAUGUUGAUGCUAUUCCUUUCUGUUUGUUAGUUUUCCUUCUAACAGACAGGCCCCUCAGCUGCAGGUCUGUUGGAGUUUACUGGAGGUCCACUCCAGACCCUGUUUGCCUGGGUCUAUAGACCUGUCUGCUGCCUUUUGUUCAGAUAUGCCCUGCCCCAGAGGUGGAAUCUAGAGAGGCAGUAGGCCUUGCUGAGCUGUAGUGGGCUCCGCCCAGUGUGAGCUUCCUUGCCACUUUGUUUACACUGUGAGCAUAGAACCGCCUACUCAAGCCUCAGCAAUGGCAGACGCCCCUCCCCCCGCCAAGCUCCCACAUCCCAGGUCGAUCUCAGACUGCUGCGCUAGCAGCGAGCAAGGCUCCGUGGGUAUGGGACCUGCCAAGCCAGGCACAGGAGGCAGUCUCCUGGUCUGCUGAUUGGGAAGACCGUGGGAAAAGCGCAGUAUUUGGGCAGGAGUGUACAGUCACUCAGAGCUUCCCUUGACUAGGAAAGGGAAAUCCCCCGACCCCUUGCACCCAGGUGAGGCGACGCCCUGCCCUGCUUCAGCUCGCCCUCCGUGGGCUGCAGUCACUGUUCAACCAGUCCCAGUGAGAUGAACCAGGUACCUCAGUUGGAAAUGCAGAAAUCGCCCAUCUUCUGCGUCAAUCUUGCUGGGAGCUGCAGACUGGAGCUGUUCCCAUUUAGCCAUCUUGGAAGUGACCUCCCAAUUUCUUUUUAAUGAUAUAAAAUCUUUCCUAAGCAUCACUAGGAUCAGAAAAGCAAAUUUUUCAGAAAUUUCAAAAAUGUAGAGAAAAGGUUAGACAUUUUGUUAGGGAAGUAAAAAUAUAUACAAUUAUACACAUAUAAAAUUAUAUUUGUUCUGGAAUAUACAAUAUGUUAUUUGUAUUGCUCACUGUAGAUCUAGUGAUUGUAAGAACUUAUGUAGCAUUUUAUCAAGCCUCCCUAUCUCUUUAGAGACUUCAAAGACUUCAGAAAGGUAUGGAGAACAUCAAAUGUUGGUCAAGAUGGUAGUCAACAGGAACUCUCAAACAUUGAGAGUAGGCAUGUAAUUUGGUACAAGCAUCUGAGAAAACUGUUUGGCCUUAUCUAGUAAAGCUAAAGAUGUAUAGAUCCUAAGAUCUAGCAAUUCCAGUUGGAGGUAUCAACCCUGGAAAACCUUGCACUUUUGAGUCAGAAGAUGUAGACAACAAAACUCACAGCAGCAUUGUUUGUAACAGAGAGAACUAAAAACAACUCAAAUUACCAUCCACAGUAAAUAGAAUGAAUUACAAUAUAGUUAUACAAUGGAACCUUUUGUUUGUGCAAUUUAUUCAAGUGGUUGCAUGCGGCCACAGUUCAUUUCGUUCUCAAUAUAUGUUAUAAUAUAUAGAUGAUACAUGUAUGUGUGUAUAUAUAUAUUUCAUUGUGUGAAUAUACUACAUUUAAUUUUUCCAUUCCGUUGUCAUUUGACAUUGUCAACAUACAUUGCUUUACUUUUUUCUUUUAAAAAGUUGAGAUGAAAGAUAAUAUGAAAUUAAUCAUUUUACAGUGUGCACUUCAGUGGCAUUUUGUACAUUUACAAUGUUGUGCAACUACCACCUGUAUCUAGUUCUAAAACAUUUUCACCAGCCCAAAAGAAAACUUAUCUCUAUUAAGAAGUCAGUCCCUGCCGGGUGUGGUGGCUCCCACCUGUAAUCCCAGUACUUUGGGAAGCUGAGGCAUGUGGAUCAUCUGAGGUCAGGAGUUCGAGACCAGCCUGACCAACAUGGUAUAACCCCAUCUCUACCAAAAAUACAAAAUUAGCCGGGUGUGGUGGCAGGUGCCUGUAAUCCCAGCUACUUGGGAGGCUGAGGCAGGAAAAUCGCUUGAACCAUGGAGGAAGAGGUUUCAGUGAGCUGAGAUCGUGCCACUGCACUCCAGCCUGGACAACAUGAGUGAAACUCUGUCUCAAAAAAAAAAAAAAAAGUCAAUCCCCAUUCCUCCUUUUUCUCACAAAUACCAAUUAUGGGUUGUAAUACCUCAGAACUACCAAUUUGCUUCCUGUCACUAUUGAUUUAUCUGGAUUUAUACAAUAUGUGGCCUCUGUGUCUGGCUGCCUUCAAUUAGCAUCAUGUUUUCAAGGUUUAUCCACAUUGUAGUAUGUAUCAGUAUUUCAUUCCUUUUUACAGCUGAAUAACAUUCAACUAUACAAAUAUACCACAUUUUGUUUAUUGAUUCAUCAAUUGAUGGACAUCUGUCUGGGUUUUUCUACCUUUGGCUAAUGUGAAUAAUGCUGCUAUGAACAUUCAUGUACAAGUAUUUGAGUACCCAGUUUCAAUUCAACUGGGUAUAGACUUAGAAGUCAAAUUGUAGCAGAAUUGUAGGCCAAGUGUAGUGGCUCAUAUCUAUAAUCCCAGCACUUUGGAAGCCAACGUGGGAAUAUCUCUUGAGUCCAGGAGUUUGAGACCAGCCUCAUUUAUUUGGUUGAGCCACAGGUGAGCAGUCUCUCAAAACAAAAGUGAAUGCAGAGCCUUGCCUAACAGUGCAAAGCCAGCUGCUUAUAUAUCUGGCUCCUGCGACAGUCUGAUUUGAUUGGUGAGGAUGAUGGGGUGCUGGGCAUAUGGGUGGCCGAAAUUAUCAAGGACCGUGGAGUAAAAUGUAGCGGUUUCCACUGGGGAAGAAAAAGAAGGACUUCCGGGUUUGGAUGCUCAAUGGGAGGUACCCAGGGGAGGAAGCUGGGUAUCUGAUGCUCAGGUAUCAAUACUGGGGUGGCAUCAAUACAGGAGUGGACAGCAAGAGGGAAAUAUCAUCCUCAACACCCUCAGCAUUCCCUGUGAGCCAACCUCCCUGCCACUCUGCAUUCCCCACACUUCCAGCUGGUGAACAGCAGUCUCCUGUUGGCUGUUGCUAUAAUUCAUAACUUGGGCACACAUUAAGCUCCUUGGUCUCUGAUCCCUUAGGGGAAAAAGGCAACCAAAUGCAACUGAUGAGGUCUGGGUAAAGUCUUCAGUGGGGAAGAGAGGCUAAAGUGACACUGCAGGUGGAGCCUACAAAGUUUGCCAAUAUCUGCCUUAGUCAACAAACAACACGUCCUUGGUCAAGGCAUAUUAUAUUUUUACUGACUCUUGGGCUGUUGACAAUGUUACCUGGUCUGCCACUUGGAAGAAAACAAACUAGCGGAUUACAGACACUCCUCUUUAGGACUGUGAACUGUGAAAACAAAUCACAGCAGAGAAUCAGACAGAUGUCCAUGGUAAUGGCUCAUUCUCUAAUGGAAUAGACUGCAAUGAUGCUGCUAAUCAAGUAUACACCAUCCAGACUGCUGCCACUGCUGCCAGGAUCAGCAGUCUGCACACUGUAACAACACACUGCACAUAGCAACAUUAUCUGCCAUCAUGGCCUAGGAACAGAGUAAAGAUUACAUGUAUCUGACGCUACCAUUGCAUGCUGGUCUUGUGCUUCCUUUCAAAAGUCAGCCUGUUUUGUCUCAGUGAAAUAGACCGUAUUUUAUGGUGUGUGGUCCCUCUUACUUCUGACAAGUUGACUAUAUCAGGCCUUUGACACACACACACACACACACACACACACACACACACACACACACACCUGGGGCUAUUGUUAAUGUGUUACAGUUGUUGACAUUUUUUCGGGUUAUGGUUUCAUUGUUCCAGUCUGUUCAACCAACGCCAGUCACACUGAUCAAAAUGUGUUAUGUUUUUGGUUUUCCAGACCACUUUCACUCUGACAAUGAUAUGUCUUUUACUGCGCAGAGGUUGCUCAACAAUGAGCCAAUAAGUCAAGGUAUUCAACGGAUAUUUCACACCCCUUAUCAUCCUUAGGGUGUUGGCUCCAACAAGAAGUAAAACGGACUUUUAAAAAAUCCACUAAAAGAAAUUUCUGACUCUACCUCCUUCACACUCUCCUGGUCCAUGCAUCUUAGUAAGACCACUGCGAUCUCGGCUCACUGCAAGCUCCGCCUCCUGGGUUCACACCAUUCUCCUGCCUCAGCCUCCUGAGUAGCUGAGACUACAGGCGCCCGCCACUAUGCCCGGCUAAGUUUUUGUAUUUUUAGUAGAGACAGGGUUUCACCAUGUUAGCCAGGAUGGUCUCGAUCUCCUGACCUCGUGAUCCACCCGCCUCGGCCUCCCAAAGCAGACCACUUUCACUCUGACAAUGAUAGGUCUUUUACUGCAAAGGUUGCUCAACAAUGAGCCGAUAGUCAAGGUAUUCAACAGAUGUUUCACACCCCUUAUCAUCCUCAGGCUGCUGCCAUUUCUUUAUGUGUUGUCUGUGGCUGCUUGUGUUCUACAAUGGCAGAGCUGAGUAACUGUGUCAGAGGGUGUGUAGCCUACAAAGCUGAAAAUAUUACUCUCUGGCCCUUCACAGAAAGGUUACCAACUCCUGCCCUAGAUAACAAAGAUAACUACCACUUGGUUGAGGAUACUGCUCACCAAGUACCCCUACAGUGACCCACACCAGUCAAGCAAGGAAACAAGGUACCUGAAACUGCCGAAACAAAACAGCACAUAAGGAGAGACUACUGUAUUUUGCUUUAUGCAAGAUUUCAGGCUUUUAGCUGCUAAGAGAGAGGCCACUGCCAGUAACAGCCGGGGCGCCGAGCUGUCAAGGCUGACGGAGGAAUGGACGCUCAUCGCGCAGCGGAGUGUUGGAGGGGCAAGCCCGCCAAGAGACCCACUUUGCACAACUGUCCUCAGCCAGGAAACGACAGAUCAGGAACCCAGGGACAGAAACACACGCGGGGCCUCUUCAGAGGUCGGCGGGGGGGGUGGGAAAGGGGCGGGGAGGAAGAGCAGCGCAGGGCCUGGCCGUUUGGAGGAGGUGCUGGGGCGGCGCGAAGGGAGGCGGGACAGGGUAGACUCACAGAUCCAGGAGCUGACUGACCCGCCGUGGGCGAGGCAUCGCUGCAGCGUCUGAAGCCUCUUCCGCGGUCCCAGGGCCUCCAGAACCCAGCCAGGGACCGUCCGCCAACUCCCGCCCACCGCGCGACGCGUAGGUUUUUGUGACGUCACACGGAUUUUUCCGGUGACCGGGGCGUGGCCACGCUUCGGACUCCACAAGGAAAGAAGAGAGCCCCCUUUGGGGCGGAGCCACUGAGGGCUGCGCGGAAGAGGCUGGGUGUGAUAAACUAUAAAGAGGCCCUAAACUCGGAUGCAACGUGACGGGAGUUGUAGUUCUUUCACCUGGCGGGCGUCUGCUCCGGUUCAGCUGCAGGAGGUUUCUUGGGAGUUCAGCCCAGCGCGCAGCCCCGCCGCGACGCCGCGAGCCGAGAACUCUCCUGGGGCGAAGGGAGCGCUGAGAAGUCGCUACUCUUACUAAAAGGAUGCGUUGGAUGCUGGGCCAUACCCUUGGCGAUGCACACUGGAGACCCGCUCGGAUACGGACUCCAUUAACAUCAAACGGAGCGUGUUAGAGGAUCCGAGUUUACUGAGCACUUUCUAGGAAGCGUGCACUGAGCUACGUGCUUUCUAGGCCUUAGUUCAAUACUUAACCAUAUUCAUUAUAAUCCGGUGAAAUCGUAAUUAUUUAGCCUUAUUUUACAGAUGAGGACACUGCGUACCAACAAGUAACCUCACUAAGAAUUUCGUCAUGGAGGAGAAGGGAACCUGUAUUCAAAUUAGGAAGGAUCCUGAAGAAAGGGCACCUUUAGGUGGAAUUUUAUCUUUGGUUCUGCUGCAGAGUACUUGCUGCUUUUUAGUGCUCCCUCCACCCCCCUCAUUCUUCCUUGUAGAUUAGUCUGUUGUUUGUAUGCUGAGUUCCUUUUUUAAGCUCCUUGAAAGUUGGAACCCACUGCUGUUGCCUGUUCAGGAUGCUACACAUUGAAUCAACAUGGAUUUAUUAAGCGCUGAACGAGGGCUAGGGAUCGUGCUGGGUGCUGAGGAUUGAGUGGCGAACACUUGGGUCAGACAAGUAAAAGGGCAAUUAGAAUAACUGUUAAAUGCUUAGAUGGGGUUAGUUCUAUGGAAGCACCCAUGGGGGUGGGAUACAGAUCAGAGAGAAAAGGGUGGUCUGCAAAUAGUUUGGGAUGGCUACACUGGAGAGUGAUCAAGAGUGAGUGUAGGGCAGGGGUUGGCCGACUUUUUCCAUAAAGUGCUCUGAAAGUUGCAGAUUCCAGGAGAAGUAACUAUUGUCAGACCCAGACAAAUUGGAGCCUAGAGACCAGAAAGGAAGGAAACUCAUGCUUGUAUGUCUGAGAUAAGAACUGUCUCAAGGCCAGACGCGGUGGCUCACACCUGUAAUCCUAGUACUUUGGGAGGCCGAGGCGGGCGGAUCACGAGGUCAGGAGUUUGAGACCAGCCUGGCCAACGUGGUGAAAUUCCCGUCUCUACUAAAAAUACAAAAAAAAAAAAAAAAAACUGGGUGUGGUGGCGGGCGCCUGUAAUCCCAGCUACUGAGGAGGCUGAGGCAGGAGAAUCGCUUGAACUCGGAGGAGGUUAUAGUGAGCCGAGAUCGUGCCACUGCACUCCAGCCUGGGCGACAGAGCAAGACUCCGUCUCAAAAAAAAAAAAAAAGAAAGAACGAACUGCCUCAAGGACUUUAAAAAAUAAACCAAAAAACCCACAAUUUCUUCACAUCUUUCAUGCAUUUAAUGUUUUGCACAACUUGCUUGUUUUGCAAAUAUGCGCACAUUUCUAUGACAAGAUUUAUUGCUAAAUAUUCUUUAAAACUGCAGCAGUUCAGAUAAGAUACUGUCGAAAGGACGUUUGGCCCAGCAGCAGGACCUCCACCAAUGAACGGACUCCAAUUCUUGAUUUGAGCCUUGGGAACCAAUCAACUUAGUUUCCAAGAGUUUAUGUGAACUUCCCUCCUUUACCAGUAAAAUCUUCCCCCUAUUCUUCCCUUCUCCAGACCCGUGGCUUGCCAUAGCUGUACAUCUUGGAUUAUAAUUCUUUUUGUUCACUCCCAAAGAAACUCAGUAUCUUUGGAGAAUUCUUUCUUUGUUGUCUUUUAGCUUCCCAGAGCCAAACAAGAAAUAUUUUAGGUUUUGUGGGUCAUGCUGGCUUGGUCACAGCUAUUCAACUUGUAUCUUAAAAUUAGCCAUAGACAGUAUGAAUGGGUGGGUCUCUGUUCCAAUAAAACCUUAUCCUAAACACUGAAGUUUGAAUUUUAUGUAAUUUUCAACUGUCAUGAAAUACUCAUCUUUUGAUCUUUUUCAGCCACUGAAAAAUGUAAAAGCCAUCCUUAAGUUGCAAGCUAUACAAAAACAGACAGUGGACUGGAUUUGACCCUUGAGCCAUUUGUCCAUGUGCCCUCACCUGAUCUAGAAAGCUAAAAUGCACAUGCCUCACGCCUGUAAUCCCAGCACUUUGGGAGGCCAAGGUGGGCGGAUCAGCUGAGGUUAGGAGUUCGAGACCAGCCUGGGCAAUAUGGAGAAACUCUACUAAAAGUACAAAAAAAUUAGCUGGGCGUGGUGGCAGGUGCCUGUAAUCCCAGCUACUCAGGAGGCUGAGGCAGGAGAAUUGCUUGAACCCAGGAGGCGGAGGUUGCACUGAGCCGAGAUCACACCACUGUACUCCAGCCUGGGCAACAAGAGUGAGACUCUACCUCAAAAAAAACAAAGAAAUUACGAAUUUUAAGAUGGUGAUAGCAGAGCACUAAACCCAGAGUGGGGCCCGUGUGACUGCACAUUUUGCCCACCCAUGAAGCCAGCCCUGGGUGCGUCCAACUUCAGGAUUCCCCCCCCCAAAAAUCAGUUCAGGAACCCUAUGUCAAAAUAAAAAUCAAAGACAAAUAUGAGCACAGAGAGACAUUUUUACUUGCAGUUCAAGAAAAUCAGACUUUCAGAGAGUGGCUCGCUAAAUAGAAUAGAGGAAUUUAUAGCUCAGAUGAAAUGGCAGAUAUUUAUAGCUCAGAUAUGGCAGUUCAUUCCAAUUGGAUAAGAACAAGAUGUUCCUGUUUUGUGGUAAGGAAAACAGGAUGUUCUUGUUUUUGUGGCUUAUCUCUGGAGGCAAAGCUUUUAGGAUUUCCCGUUAGUCAAGGCUUUUAGGAGGUUCCCGCUAUUCAUGGUUUAUCUUUGAAUGCAAAGUUAUUGGGAAUGAAAGUCUUUUCUAGUGUAUGGUAAGUGAUUUGUAGGCAGGGUUAGGCUAAGGGCAAGAUAUUUUCCUUUUCUCCUCUCUGUUUGCUGUGCCCACUUUAAUAUAGUUUCCUCUAGCUCAGAAUCUCCUCCACUUCCUACCAUAGCUACCAUACAAAGUAAACGUUAUCAUAGAUUGUUGCUGUGGGUUUGUUUUACUUUACUCCAGGCUGGAGUGCAGUGGCGCAAUCUCGGCUCACUGCAACCUCUGCCUCUCGGAUUCAAGCAAUUCUCCCGCCUCAGCCUCCCAAGUAGCUGGGAUUACAGGCAUGUGCCACCAUGCCAGGCUAAUUUUUUUUUUUUUGUAUUUUUAGUAGAGACGAGGUUUCACCAUAUUGGCUAGGCUGGUGUCGAACUCCUGACCUUGUGAUCCACCUACCUCGACCUCCCAAAGUGCUGGGAUUACAGGCGUGAGCCACCGUACCCGGCCUCUGGGUUUGUUUUAUAAAAAUAAUUAACAAAAUUACUUUUCUUAAAUCAUGCUGUUAAUUCAUAAUGUAAUAUAUGAGCUGUAUGUGGACCCAUGUUUUAAAAUACAAUAAAUAUAUAUAAAACAAGUAUAUCUUAUUUAUAUGAAUGUGUGCUUUCACAAGAACAGAACGGAGCUAAGCCAAGUGAGCCCCUACUUUAUUAUCCUACCAUGUGUAGGUUAUUUUCAAAUAGGAUUGCUCUUAACUCUCCAAGUGUCCUUUGAGAAAAUAACACGUCUUUUUAUUUAGUUUCUUUUCAUAGCUUGUUUUAUAAUAUCACACUCCAAAUUGGAAAUAACAGUGCCCAUGCUCAUGGAUUGUUAUACAUUGUUGAAAUUUCCCAUUGGCUAGAAACACUUGCUUUGUUUCUAGGUUAGAGAUCUGUGACUUUCAAAUUCUCAGGAGUCUGAGUCAUACAAUGGAUGACUCAGGAUCCAAGCAGGUUAAGAGUUGGGCAAGUUCAAACAGGAGAAGCAAGGAGAUGUUAAUAAAGGAGCUGUUCCCAAAGGUGUGGACAGAGUUAGGGCAGAGCAAGGGUAAAGGUAGUUCAAUACCAUAGCGCUACAAUAGCAGGAAGACCUUACCUCUUCUGGUCCUGGAGGGCAAAACCAAAACCUUGCCAGAGUGACCACAGGUGAAGCCACCUGAAAGGAACUGUGGCCUUUGAAUUUGUAACCGCCUAAGGGGUUCACCUUGCCCCCUGCCUAGAAAGAACUGAUUCAUCAAGACGGGGGAAUUACAAUAGAGAAAGAGUAAUUCACACAGAGCCAGCUGUGCGGGAGACAGUUUUAUUAUUACUCAAAUCAGUCUCCCCAAGCAUUUGGGGAGCAGAGUUUUUUUUUGUUUGUGUUUUUUUUUCAGAGUCUUGCUCUGUCACCCAGGCUGGAGUGCAGUGGCGCUGUCUUGGCUCACUGCAACCUCUGCCUCCUGGGUUCAAGUGAUUCUCCUGCCUCAGCCUACCAAGUAGCUGAGAUUACAGGCAUGUGCCACCACGCCCGGCUAAUUUUGUAUUUUUAAUAGAGACGGGGUUUCACUAUGUUGGUCAGGCUGGUCUCGAACUCCUGACCUCGGGUGAUCCACCCACCUCAACCUCCAAAAGUGCUGGGAUUACAGGUGCGAGUCACCACGCCCAGCCAGGAGCAGAAUCUUUAAGGAUAAAUUGGUGGGUUGGGGGAAGCCAGUGACCCGGGAGUGCUGAUUGGUCAGGACGGAAAUGAAAUCAUAGGGAGUUGAAGCUGUCUUCUUGUGCUGAGUCACUUCCUGGGUGGGAGCCACAAGAUCAGAUUAGCCAGUUUAUCCAUCUGGGUGGUGCCAGCUGAUCCGGCAAUUGCAGGGUCUGGAAAAUAUCUCAAGCACUGAGAUAUUUGAAGAAAAUCUUGAAGCCUCUAGUUGCAUGACUCUUAAACCAUAAUUUCUAAUCUUGUAGCUAAUGUUAGUCCUACAAAGGGAAUCUAGUCCCCAGGCAAGAAGGAGGUGUGCUUUGGGAAAGGGCUGUUAUCAUCUUUGUUUUAAACUAUAAGUUUCUCUCAAAGUUAGUUCAGCCUAUGCUGAACGAACAAGGAGGUUAGAAGCAAGAUGGAGUCGGUUAAGUUAAAACUCUUUCACCGUCUCAGUGAUAAUUUUGCAAAGGCGGUUUCAGUUUGAUAAGGCAACCUAGCCAGCCUGUUGUGAUCCAGCCAGGAAGGGGCUACAGGAAUACCCUUCAAGCUCCAUUCUUCAUCCCCUUUUUGAUGUCCUGCUGUCGGCUGUCAUUGCUUCAGCCAACCAGAAGUUAGAGCUCAAAGCAUCCCCGUUUAUGCGAUCAAUAAAAGUCAGCUUCUCAGAGCCUAGAGUAGAGAAGGAGAGAAAUUAGAAAAUAAGUAACUCAUCAACAGAUUACUGAUUUUUUUGGUAAAGGGAUUAAAUAUCAAAAACAUUUUGAAAAUUAAUAAGAAU